GGAGGGGUUCCCGAGUGGUCAAAGGGAGCAGACUGUAAAUCUGCCGGCUUAGCCUUCGAAGGUUCAAAUCCUUCCCCCUCCACCA
This 85-nucleotide transfer RNA is filed under the name Magnetococcales bacterium. RNAcentral describes it as "tRNA-Tyr". It matches the Rfam family "tRNA". From Rfam's summary of the family: Transfer RNA (tRNA) molecules are approximately 80 nucleotides in length. Their secondary structure includes four short double-helical elements and three loops (D, anti-codon, and T loops). Further hydrogen bonds mediate the characteristic L-shaped molecular structure. tRNAs have two regions of fundamental functional importance: the anti-codon, which is responsible for specific mRNA codon recognition, and the 3' end, to which the tRNAs corresponding amino acid is attached (by aminoacyl-tRNA synthetases). tRNAs cope with the degeneracy of the genetic code in two manners: having more than one tRNA (with a specific anti-codon) for a particular amino acid; and 'wobble' base-pairing, i.e. permitting non-standard base-pairing at the 3rd anti-codon position. The record is from RNAcentral. Lineage: Bacteria; Pseudomonadati; Pseudomonadota; Magnetococcia; Magnetococcales.